GGUUCAGGAUGAACGCUAGCUACAGGCUUAACACAUGCAAGUCGAGGGGCAGCAGGACGAUAGCUUGCUAUGUUGCUGGCGACCGGCGCACGGGUGAGUAACGCGUAUCCAACCUUCCCCUUAGUAGGGCAUAGCCCGGCGAAAGUCGGAUUAAUACCCUAUGUUAUCCGAAGAGGACAUCUGAAUUGGAUUAAAGAUUUAUCGCUAAGGGAUGGGGAUGCGUCUGAUUAGGUAGUAGGCGGGGUAACGGCCCACCUAGCCGACGAUCAGUAGGGGUUCUGAGAGGAAGGUCCCCCACAUUGGUACUGAGACACGGACCAAACUCCUACGGGAGGCAGCAGUGAGGAAUAUUGGUCAAUGGGCGCGAGCCUGAACCAGCCAAGUAGCGUGCAAGGAUGACGGCCCUAUGGGUUGUAAACUGCUUUUAUGCGGGGAUAAAGUGCGGCACGUGUGCCGUUUUGCAGGUACCGCAUGAAUAAGGACCGGCUAAUUCCGUGCCAGCAGCGGC
This 508-nucleotide ribosomal RNA is filed under the name uncultured bacterium. RNAcentral's name for it is "bacterial SSU rRNA". It matches the Rfam family "Bacterial small subunit ribosomal RNA", at positions 21 to 518 of the family's 1533-position model. The record is from RNAcentral.